RNAcentral lists this long non-coding RNA (1178 nucleotides) under Canis lupus familiaris (dog). Its description in RNAcentral is "lncRNA (ENSCAFG00000058190.1)". Lineage: Eukaryota; Metazoa; Chordata; Mammalia; Carnivora; Canidae. The record is from RNAcentral.
GGGACAGCUAGAGAAACAAGAGGACCAGUCCCCAACCCAGCAUCUUGGGUGUGUGUGGGGGGGCUGCACUAGGAAGAGGUGUUCUAACAUUGGGCUUUGCAGACCCAUGGGGCUUAACUUCAGAGUUUCUACAAGCAGCAGGGCAUAAUUUCAGGUACUUAAAAAAUCUGCAGGCUUAAAACUGGGUGGUGUAAGCCCCCACAACCUCCCACGUUUCAGACCUAUGGUUCUUAGCUCCCCCUUACCAGAGUCACAUAGCCCUUAGCUACUGUUAAAACUGGAAAAUUGCCUCAGGAAAUAAAGUUGCCUUCGGAAGAGUCUGUGGGAUGCCAUUCUACCGGAGAUCCACAUAAUGUGCCAUGUCUGUGAGGGGGGAAAAACAAUUUGCAGCUUAGCAGUAGUCACAGAACUAGAACUUCCAUCUGUGCUCUAGAGAUGACAUCACUAAUGUAACCUGCUGAGAACGUUUUGCAGUGCCAGGGCCCUGAGACCAAACAAUCACCUCUCUACAGUCACACCAAAGCCCAGAUGUUACCAGAAGGGACAAGAUGAUCAAGAAAAGAAGUAUUACAGGUUGGAGGGGACCUCACUCCUGCAGUCGGCUGAGAAUGUCGUAUGGUACCAGGACCCUGGAGCCGAAUGACCACCUGACUCCAACCACACCAAAGCCAGAUGGGACUGAAAUUGCCAGAAGGGACAAGAUGAUCAAGAAAAGAAUCAGCCUGACUCCAGCCCUUGAGACCCCUAUUUUGAAUUUUCACCCUUUAAAAGCCUCCUGUUUGUAAGCCAGGGGGUGGAGUUUGGGACUUUGAGCUUUAACUUCCCAUCCUCCUGGGUGGUGCCGCACCAAUAAAAAGCCUAUCUUCACUGUAAACACUUAGUGUCCAUUUUUCUUUCCUUGUUGUACAUCAGGUGGACAGCCUCAUUUGGUUUACAGGCUUAGCUCUGGGAGAACCAGAGGGCAAGAGGAAACCGAGUCUUCCCCUUUAAAGAGCCAGAAUAAUCCAGCAGAGACAGAGCAAUGCAGCAGUUUAAAGAGCAUCUGGUGUAUAGGGGAAGGAGCUUUGCUAAUCUAACACUGGUGGGGCUGGGAGACCUCCUUAAGGCUAAAAGAGCUGGUGGGGACCAUUUUUCCCACCCACCCCCACUGCCAGGCUAGAUAAGCUGACACCUGUGGG